GAAGUGCGAUAAGUAAUGUGAAUUGCAGAAUUCGUGAGUCAUUGAAUCCUUGAACGCAAGUGGCGCUUGAGAGAUUAAAAUCUCAAGCACAUCUGUUUCAGCGUCGUUUUUUCACUCUCAAAUAAAUCGCCUUCCUUUUUUAUAUGAAGGAGGCAGGAUUUUUGUGGAUGUUGAAGGUUGGCUUGUCUUUUCUUAAGGACAGCUUCAUCCUUUGAAAUACAUUCAUUGAAGAAAGAGUCCUCUUCCGAUUGAAAGACACUAUUUAAGUUGGGAUGUCUUAACAUCACACGUAAAUAGUCAUUUCAAUUGAAAGAGUGAUUUGUUUUCUCACAAACAAGGAACGGUUGACGUAUUCAAAGCGACCUGAAAUCAGGUGAGAUCACCCGCUGAACUUAA
Molecule: unclassified non-coding RNA, 396 nt
Filed under: uncultured Glomus
Lineage: Eukaryota; Fungi; Glomeromycota; Glomeromycetes; Glomerales; Glomeraceae
Description: sequence contains ITS1
Rfam family: 5.8S ribosomal RNA (bases 1-106)
Source: RNAcentral